CUACGGGUGGCUCCAGUGGGGAAUAUUGGACAAUGGGGGAAACCCUGAUCCAGCAACGCCGCGUGUGUGAAGAAGGCCUGCGGGUUGUAAAGCACUUUCGGUUGGGAGGACUGCUUCUAGCACUAAUAUUGUUGGAAGUUGACGUUACCUUCAGAAGAAGCACCGGCUAACUCCGUGCCAGCAGCCGCGGUAAUACGGAGGGUGCACGCGUUAAUCGGAAUUACUGGGCGUAAAGCGCGCGUAGGCGGCUAGAUCAGUCGGGUGUGAAAGCCCCGGGCUUAACCUGGGAACUGCAUCCGAUACUGUCUAGCUUGAGUACAGGAGAGGAGAGUGGAAUUCCACAUGUAGCGGUGAAAUGCGUAGAUAUGUGGAGGAACACCAAUGGCGAAGGCAGCUCUCUGGCCUGAUACUGACGCUGAGGUGCGAAAGCGUGGGGAGCAAACAGGAUUAGAUACCCCAGUAGUC
RNAcentral lists this ribosomal RNA (465 nucleotides) under uncultured bacterium. RNAcentral's name for it is "partial 16S ribosomal RNA". It matches the Rfam family "Bacterial small subunit ribosomal RNA", at positions 339 to 795 of the family's 1533-position model. The record is from RNAcentral.